Molecule: ribosomal RNA, 317 nt
Filed under: uncultured bacterium
Lineage: Bacteria
Description: bacterial SSU rRNA
Rfam family: Bacterial small subunit ribosomal RNA
Source: RNAcentral
GAUAAACGCUGGCGGCGCACAUAAGACAUGCAAGUCGAACGGACUUAACCGAAAUGUUUACAUCUUGGAGCGGUUAGUGGCGGACUGGUGAGUAACACGUAAGCAACCUGCCUAUCAGAGGGGAAUAACAGUGAGAAAUCAUUGCUAAUACCGCAUAUGCUGUGAGUAUCGCAUGAUACAAACAGGAAAGGAGCAAUCCGCUGAUAGAUGGGCUUGCGUCUGAUUAGAUAGUUGGUGGGGUAACGGCCUACCAAGUCGACGAUCAGUAGCCGGACUGAGAGGUUGAACGGCCACAUUGGGACUGAGAUACGGCCCAG